AUAAUCCUCUGUGCUACGGAGUCCAAUCCUAACACAUCCCUGAUAAGGAGUGCUUUCUAUAGGAGCCCACAGUGUUGACACUGGAACAGCACAGCUUCUGUGAUCAAGCCAUGGCCACAUCAUACUUCAAUAUCUACAAAGUGAGCUCAACAUGCAAUAGUAAUUUGUACCCAGAUGAGCAAGAGGAAAAUGAGAGAUCAGAGUUUUUCCUUCCCAGUAGGCUUGGGCAAAGGCUAAAUGUGCCAAAUUUCUUCUUGAGUUAAUUACAGCCUGUCUCCUGGAACUAAAAGAAUUGCUCAUUAUUUUUCCUAUCCCCACUGCCACCACAUUUGUAUUUUAAAAGAUAACCCUUUGAAGAAAGAUGGGUUGAGAAUCUACAAUUGGUUCAAGGUUAAGAAGAAACUGGGAUUUGACCUGAUCAACAAAUUACAUUGGGCAGACAGUGGGUAUGAACACAGAGUUCAUAGUGGAUCUGAGAGAAGCUGUAAUUUUGAGCAUGUUCAAUAAAGGCAUUCUGAUUUUAGAAU
Molecule: long non-coding RNA, 527 nt
Organism: Sceloporus undulatus (fence lizard)
Lineage: Eukaryota; Metazoa; Chordata; Lepidosauria; Squamata; Phrynosomatidae
Exons: 3
Source: RefSeq, a predicted model, not a curated record